This 466-nucleotide ribosomal RNA is filed under the name uncultured bacterium. RNAcentral's name for it is "partial 16S ribosomal RNA". It matches the Rfam family "Bacterial small subunit ribosomal RNA", at positions 28 to 507 of the family's 1533-position model. The record is from RNAcentral.
GACGAACGCUGGCGGUGUGCUUAACACAUGCAAGUCGAACGGUAAGGCCCUUUCGGGGGUACACGAGUGGCGAACGGGUGAGUAACACGUGAGUAACCUGCCCUCAUCUCUGGGAUAACAGUCGGAAACGGUUGCUAAUACUGGAUAUGAGCUUGCAAGGCAUCUUGUGGGUUGGAAAGAUUUUUUUGGUUGGGGAUGGACUCGCGGCCUAUCAGCUUGUUGGUGAGGUAGUGGCUCACCAAGGCUUCGACGGGUAGCCGGCCUGAGAGGGCGACCGGCCACAUUGGGACUGAGAUACGGCCCAAACUCCUACGGGAGGCAGCAGUGGGGAAUAUUGCACAAUGGACGGAAGUCUGAUGCAGCAACGCCGCGUGCGGGAUGACGGCCUUCGGGUUGUAAACCGCUUUCAAUUGUGACGAAGCUUUUUGUGACGGUAGCGGUAGAAGAAGCACCGGCUAACUACGUG